Molecule: microRNA precursor, 79 nt
Filed under: Haemonchus contortus (barber pole worm)
Lineage: Eukaryota; Metazoa; Nematoda; Chromadorea; Rhabditida; Trichostrongylidae
Description: microRNA hco-mir-40a precursor
Gene: hco-mir-40a
Source: miRBase by way of RNAcentral
ACCGGGAAAACUCACUGUAAGACCAUCCAGUAAAGCAUCGCAAGACUUCACCGGGUGUCUUGCAGUGAGAUUUUAGAAU